GAAACACAGUGCGGUGGAACUGAGUCAUACAGUGCGGUGGAACCGAGCCUUUGUGCCCUCUUUGGUUUGGGGAGUAGCCACAGUGCAGCCCUGCUCCGCCCUCACACCACUGCAGCACCAAACCUGUGGUAGCGCUCGCCUUACUGCCAAGUGAGGCAAAAGGGUAGGAAAGGUCUGUACAAAUUGCUGUUAAACCUCAAAACACAGGUGUAGAAGUCACGCCUGGUUGGACACAGGAGCUCAUUACAAAGUAGCAUUCUGUCUUCAUAACUGUUUCCUGACCGGUCACUGCCUUCCCCAAGUUGUAGGUGGGCUUGUUGGGUUCCUCCUCAAGGCCUACAAGAGGAUUUCCAGAAGAGGAACAACAAUGCAGGAAAGCAGACAGAAGGGUGAGGCACAUGCACUGGCUGAAGCAGCACAGCCCAUCUGAGCACGGCAUGCCCAGGAACCUGGGAUGCUCUGAUCCAGAAAGACCAGGAACUGACAGAAACCCAUGGGAGAACCAUGUACAUUAAAGCUGCCUCAGGAAUAUUAACUGAUUUAACAUAGUGCCCUGUUUUCACCUGGGAUAGAGUUUUCACCAAGCACUGAAGACCAUCUUUAAAUACUGCCUAUGUGGGGCAGUGAACAGUCAUUGCAGCUCCUUGGAUGAAAUUAAAGGAGUGAAGUCAGUUAAGUGAUAUGAUCAGGAUUCUGAGAUUAUUUCUUUGCAUACAUUCACUUGCGUUCUCUAUCAACUUGUUUUCAAUGUGAGUUUUGAAUGAACCCACAUGAGGGAGGAUUUUCUUCACAAUAGAAGUGGAAAUUUGUUGGCUACUUCUGUUGGCAAGUCACAGGACAAAGCACAGUGCCUGGCUAUCAUGGUACUUGCAAACCUUCUGUCUUCUGAACAUCUCAGUGAAAGCUCUGGGAAAUCUAAUUGAAUAUAAGAACAUAUUGAAUGGAUUAUCAAGUGUAGCAUCCUCUCACUAACAGACAAGAACCGCCCUCCUGUUUUGACCACCAGAAGCCUGUGAAGCUUCGCUCACGUGAGUAGUUUUAUUGACUGGGAUGGGAUUGCUCAAUUUGGGAGGAACUGGGCCUCAAUGGGAGCAGUGGAACAUUCCACGGAAAUUGUGAGGCACUCUGAGGAAUGUCUGUUCCCAUCACCAUAAUUUUUCGCUGUAUAAAAUUCUCGCAAGUGCUCUUUUCUUCUUCAUGCCUCUGCUUCUUUGGAAAAUGACCUGUGCUUCAAAGAUCAGGUAGGAUUUGUGGAGAGAUGUAGAGGCAUUAAGUAGUAUAACGGAAC
RNAcentral lists this long non-coding RNA (1288 nucleotides) under Gallus gallus (chicken). Lineage: Eukaryota; Metazoa; Chordata; Aves; Galliformes; Phasianidae. The record is from RNAcentral.